This 445-nucleotide ribosomal RNA is filed under the name uncultured bacterium. RNAcentral describes it as "partial 16S ribosomal RNA". It matches the Rfam family "Bacterial small subunit ribosomal RNA", at positions 354 to 796 of the family's 1533-position model. The record is from RNAcentral.
GUAAGGAAUAUUGGUCAAUGGAGGCAACUCUGAACCAGCCAUGCCGCGUGCAGGAAGACGGCCCUCUGGGUUGUAAACUGCUUUUAUCUAGGAAUAAACCUACUUACGUGUAAGUAGCUGAAUGUACUAGAAGAAUAAGGAUCGGCUAACUCCGUGCCAGCAGCCGCGGUAAUACGGAGGAUCCAAGCGUUAUCCGGAUUUAUUGGGUUUAAAGGGUGCGUAGGCGGCCUAUUAAGUCAGGGGUGAAAGACGGUAGCUCAACUAUCGCAGUGCCCUUGAUACUGAUGGGCUUGAAUGAACUAGAGGUAGGCGGAAUGUGACAAGUAGCGGUGAAAUGUUUAGAUAUGUCACAGAACACCGAUUGCGAAGGCAGCUUACUAUGGUUUUAUUGACGCUGAGGCACGAAAGCGUGGGGAUCAAACAGGAUUAGAUACCCCUGUAGUCC